GAUGAAGAACGCAGCGAAAUGCGAUAAGUAGUGUGAAUUGCAGAAUUCAGUGAAUCAUCGAAUCUUUGAACGCACAUUGCGCCCCUUGGUAUCCCGAGGGGCAUGCCUGUUCGAGCGUCAUUUCACCACUCAAGCCUGGCUUGGUGUUGGGCGACGUCCUCUUUGGGGACGCGCCUCGAAACGCUCGGCGGCGUGGCACCGGCUUUAAGCGUAGCAGAAUCUUUCGCUUUGGAAGUCGGGGCCCCGUCUGCCGGAAGACCUGCUCGCAAGGUUGACCUCGGAUCAGGCAGGGAUACCCGCUGAACUUAAGCAGAUCAAUAAGCGGAGGA
RNAcentral lists this unclassified non-coding RNA (329 nucleotides) under soil metagenome. Its description in RNAcentral is "partial contains 5.8S ribosomal RNA, internal transcribed spacer 2, and large subunit ribosomal RNA". The stretch from base 1 to 120 matches the Rfam family "5.8S ribosomal RNA", at positions 35 to 154 of the family's 154-position model. The record is from RNAcentral.